Molecule: long non-coding RNA, 501 nt
Organism: Penaeus monodon (black tiger shrimp)
Lineage: Eukaryota; Metazoa; Arthropoda; Malacostraca; Decapoda; Penaeidae
Exons: 3
Source: RefSeq, a predicted model, not a curated record
GUGACCGAGCGCGCUAGGCUAGAGCGUUUGUUCACGCCUCGGUCUAGUGUCAGUUUCAUAGACACUAUUUCUGGCCGUUCUGGGAUUCUAGUAUGGUUUUUAAGGAUUGUGAGUGAUUUCCCCCAAGUGCGAGUGUGAUAAUAUCGUAACUGAGGUAUACAGUGCCCCAGGGUGCAAGACAUUACCUGUAAGAAAAGAAGAGGAGUAGUUGUUUACAUCAGAAAGUUUUUAUUAUGAUUGGAAAUGUGAUCAGGCAAAAGUUGCACAAAUAAUUCAUAGAUCUAAAUAUGUAAGUGAAAAAAGUGUGUUCUUGAAUAUUAUUACAGUCUGUAAGCCCAGGCUGCAUAAUCAUUCAGUGCAUAAAUCAAUGUACAUUAUCGAAAGUGUUUGAAAAUAAUCGCAAUACUCAAGAAUACAGAAGAAGAACAGGAGAGAGGGUCACUAGCUACAGGAACCCGAAAGCAGUCCCCACCAGAGGGAACAGCGCCGUCGCUUACCACA